UACGGGGGGGGCAAGCGUUGUUCGGAAUUACUGGGCGUAAAGGGCUCGUAGGCGGCCAACUAAGUCAGACGUGAAAUCCCUAGGCUCAACCUAGGAACUGCGUCUGAUACUGGAUGGCUUGAAUCCGGGAGAGGGAUGCAGAAUUCCAGGUGUAGCGGUGAAAUGCGUAGAUAUCUGGAGGAAUACCGGUGGCGAAGGCGGCAUCCUGGACCGGCAUUGACGCUGAGGAGCGAAAGCCAGGGGAGCAAACAGG
This 253-nucleotide ribosomal RNA is filed under the name uncultured bacterium. RNAcentral describes it as "partial 16S ribosomal RNA". It matches the Rfam family "Bacterial small subunit ribosomal RNA", at positions 524 to 776 of the family's 1533-position model. The record is from RNAcentral.